RNAcentral lists this ribosomal RNA (497 nucleotides) under uncultured bacterium. Its description in RNAcentral is "partial 16S ribosomal RNA". It matches the Rfam family "Bacterial small subunit ribosomal RNA", at positions 28 to 507 of the family's 1533-position model. The record is from RNAcentral.
GAUGAGCGCUGGCGGCGUGCCUAAUACAUGCAAGUCGAGCGAACAGACGAGGAGCUUGCUCCUCUGACGUUAGCGGCGGACGGGUGAGUAACACGUGGAUAACCUACCUAUAAGACUGGGAUAACUUCGGGAAACCGGAGCUAAUACCGGAUAAUAUAUUGAACCGCAUGGUUCAAUAGUGAAAGACGGUUUUGCUGUCACUUAUAGAUGGAUCCGCGCCGCAUUAGCUAGUUGGUAAGGUAACGGCUUACCAAGGCAACGAUGCGUAGCCGACCUGAGAGGGUGAUCGGCCACACUGGAACUGGGACACGGUCCAGACUCCUACGGGAGGCAGCAGUAGGGAAUCUUCCGCAAUGGGCGAAAGCCUGACGGAGCAACGCCGCGUGAGUGAUGAAGGUCUUCGGAUCGUAAAACUCUGUUAUUGGGGAAGAACAAAUGUGUAAGUAACUAUGCACGUCUUGACGGUACCUAAUCAGAAAGCCACGGCUAACUACGUG